GACGAACGCUGGCGGCGUGCCUAAUACAUGCAAGUCGAACGCACAGUUUAUACCGUAGCUUGCUACACCAUAGACUGUGAGUUGCGAACGGGUGAGUAACGCGUAGGUAACCUGCCUGGUAGCGGGGGAUAACUAUUGGAAACGAUAGCUAAUACCGCAUAAUAUUGAUUAUUGCAUGAUAAUUGAUUGAAAGAUGCUAUUGCAUCACUACCAGAUGGACCUGCGUUGUAUUAGCUAGUAGGUGAGGUAACGGCUCACCUAGGCGACGAUACAUAGCCGACCGGAGAGGGUGAUCGGCCACACUGGGACUGAGACACGGCCCAGACUCCUACGGGAGGCAGCAGUAGGGAAUCUUCGGCAAUGGACGAAAGUCUGACCGAGCAACGCCGCGUGAGUGAAGAAGGUUUUCGGAUCGUAAAGCUCUGUUGUAAGAGAAGAACGGGUGUGAGAGUGGAAAGUUCACACUGUGACGGUAUCUUACCAGAAAGAGACGGCUAACUACGUG
RNAcentral lists this ribosomal RNA (505 nucleotides) under uncultured bacterium. Its description in RNAcentral is "partial 16S ribosomal RNA". It matches the Rfam family "Bacterial small subunit ribosomal RNA", at positions 28 to 507 of the family's 1533-position model. The record is from RNAcentral.